GGCGGAUUAGGAUAAGUUUAGAAGUCUGAUUGGUUCAUAGUUAGUAGGUUAGUUUCGCUU
RNAcentral lists this transfer RNA (60 nucleotides) under Clavinema parasiluri. Its description in RNAcentral is "tRNA-Met". Lineage: Eukaryota; Metazoa; Nematoda; Chromadorea; Rhabditida; Philometridae. The record is from RNAcentral.